CAGCACCUCAAGUGGUCAGGAUGAUUAUUGGGCCUAAAGCAUCCGUAGCCGGCGCUGUAAGUUUUCGGGUAAAUCUGUACGGUCAACGUACAGGCUGCCGGGAAUACUGCAGCGCUAGGGAGUGGGAGAGGUAGACGGUACUCGGUAGGAAGGGGUAAAAUCCUUUGAUCUAUUGAUGACCACCUGUGGCGAAGGCGGUCUACCAGAACACGUCCGACGGUGAGGGAUGAAAGCUGGGGGAGCAAACCGGAUUAGAUGCCCGAGUAGUCC
This 270-nucleotide ribosomal RNA is filed under the name uncultured archaeon. Its description in RNAcentral is "partial 16S ribosomal RNA". It matches the Rfam family "Archaeal small subunit ribosomal RNA", at positions 477 to 747 of the family's 1478-position model. The record is from RNAcentral.